UGGUGCCUUUUGGUACUGUGGAUAGGGGUACGGUUUUCCACCGUACCGAAACCUAGCAGAGGGCCAGUCUGGUGCCAGCAGCUGCGGUAAUUCCAGCUCUGCGAGUUUGCUCCCAUAUUGUUGCAGUUAAAACGCCCGUAGUCUGAAUUGGCCAGCAAUGGUCGUACGUAUUUUUACGUUCACUGUGAACAAAUCAGGACGCUUAGAGUAUGGCCACAUGAAUGACUCAGCGCAGUAUGAAGUCUUUGUUUUCUUCCGAAAACAAGCUCAAUGAGAGCCAUCGGGGGUAGAUCUAUCUCAUGACGAGUGGUGGAAUACUUUGACUCAUGAGAGAGAAGCUGAGGCGAAGGCGUCUACCUAGAGGGUUUCUGUCGAUCAAGGGCGAGAGUAGGAGUAUCCAACAGGAUUAGAGACCCUGGUAGUUCCUACCUUAAACGAUGCCGACAGGAGUUUGUCAUUUGUUAAUGGCAGAAUCUUUGGAGAAAUCAUAGUUCUUGGGCUCUGGGGGAACUACGACCGCAAGGCUGAAACUUGAAGGAAUUGACGGAAGGGCACACCAGGGGUGGAGCCUGUGGCUUAAUUUGAAUCAACACGGGGAAACUUACCAGGACCAGAUGUUUUUUAUGACUGACAGGCUUCGGGUCUUUCAGGAUAUUGUUUUUGGUGGUGCAUGGCCGUUGGUGGUGCGUGGGUUGACCUGUCUAGCGUUGAUUCAGCUAACGAGCGAGAUUAUCGCCAAUUAUUUACUUUGCCGAAGUCCUUCGGUUAAAGUUCUAAUUGGGACUCCCUGCGAUUUUAGCAGGUGGAAGAGGGUAGCAAUAACAGGUCCGUGAUGCCCUUUAGAUGCUCUGGGCUGCACGCGUGCUACAAUGUUAGGAUCAAUAGGACUGCGAGCCUGAGAGGGUGCGCUACUCUUAUAAUCCCUAACGUAAUUGGGAUUGACGUUUGUAAUCAGCGUCAUGAACCAAGAAUCCCUUGUAAAUGUGUGUCAACAACGCACGUUGAAUACGUCCCUGCCCUUUGUACACACCGCCCGUCCCUCCUACCGAUUGGAUGAAUCGGUGAAAUCACCGGAUGGUUUACCAAGCGAAAGUUGAUUAAAUCACGUUUAUCUAGA
RNAcentral lists this non-coding RNA (1117 nucleotides) under Trichomonas vaginalis G3. RNAcentral describes it as "Eukaryotic small subunit ribosomal RNA". It matches the Rfam family "Eukaryotic small subunit ribosomal RNA", at positions 484 to 1777 of the family's 1831-position model. Lineage: Eukaryota; Parabasalia; Trichomonadida; Trichomonadidae. The record is from Rfam by way of RNAcentral.